This is a non-coding RNA of Prunus avium (sweet cherry), 1238 nucleotides long. The record is from RefSeq and is a predicted model, not a curated record. Lineage: Eukaryota; Viridiplantae; Streptophyta; Magnoliopsida; Rosales; Rosaceae.
AUCAUCAACUUAGAACCCUCUAACUCUUUGGUGAUCUUUUUGGCCAUAAAACUUGAAAGAAAAUCACACCUCAAGCGGCUAAACUCCAAACAAAACCCAAAAAUCAGUGAGUUAGAAGAGAUUCGAGAGAGAAUCAUCAUAUUUGGAGGAGUGAUUAUGUUAAUUAUUUAUAAGGGAUUUGCUCUUAUGUUUGCAACCAAGAAUCUCCAACUUCCGUUCAUACAAGUAUACUGUUACUUAUGGCUACGGAGUCACAAGCAUUUUGGAAUGGGCGGUUUCGGAAAAGAGAUUCUAUUUGGCCUUUACACAAAGGGUUCCAUAUUUAAGGUACGUUUAAGAUGUCUAGUGGAGUUACUAAACGUGAUCCAGCUUGGGAACAUGGAGACCCAAUAGACGGAAACAAAUAUGGCACAAUUUGCAAAUAUUGUGGUUGGGUAAUGAAGAGUGGUGGAGUGACGCAACUUAAGUACCAUCUUAGUGGAUUAGAUCCAGGAAAUAAUGUCCAACGAUGCGAUAAUGUCCCCCAUGAAGUGAAGGCAUUCAUCACCACAUUAUUAAAAAAUAAACAACACCAGAAGGAAAAAAAACAUAUGGAAUGGAAAAUAUUCGAGCUGGGCUACGAGGAGAAGUCAUUGGCCAAGCAGUUGAAAGUGAUGAUGAUGACAAUGAGGACGAAUGUAAUGAUGACAUGGGACCUGAAGAGCGACACAAUUUCAAACAAGCAUUACGUGCCUCCAAACAGUCAGCAUGGGAAAGAGAACACCUCCAUAAACUUCCUAAUAGAGCACAAGGUUCUGGGGCAAGUGGUGGUGCACAAAUGAGACGGGGAGCAAGUGUUAGAGAAUCACAACCAACACCACCAAUAGCCCCCAGUUUAUAUAAGUCAUCCAAAGCACGUCAAAAGAGUGUUUGGAGUUAUUUCGCUGGAGGUAAUGUGAAGGAGGGAAUGGGGCGUCUAAUUAGCAAGUUAUUUAUUUAUAACAAUGUCCCUGCUGAGAAGGCAUCAUCACAUCAUUUCAAAAAUAUGGUAUUGGGAUGUCAACAGGUCGGUGUUGGAGUACAACCUCCCACUCCCUAUGAGGUAAGAAACAAAUAUUUGGAAAUGGAGUAUAAAGACAUUAGUGAGUAUGUUAACAAGUUGAGGUCAAAGUGGGAAACUAAUGGUUGCACAAUCAUGUGUGACGGAUGGACUGGCCCGACCAGAUUGUCUAUCAUAAACUUCAUGGUAUACUCCAAGG